GAUGAACGCUGGCGGCGUGCCUAACACAUGCAAGUCGAGCGAACGGACGAGAAGUUUGCUCUUCUGAUGGUAGCGGCGGACGGGAGCGUAACAUGUGGAUAACCUACCUAUCAGACUGGGAUGAUUUCAGGAGACCGGAUCUAAGACCGGAUAAUAUUUCGCACCUCAUUGUUCACAAGUGAAAUACGGUCGUUCGUUGAGUUAUAGAUGGAUACGCGCUGGAUUCGUUAGUUGGUGAGGUAACUGCUUACCAACGCAGCGAUGGAUAGCCGACCCAAAGGCGACGUCGCAUACCCGGGCACUGAGACUCAGUCCAGACUCCUGCGGGAGGCAGCAGUAGAGAAUCCUACGCGAGGCACGAGUGCCUAACGGAGGAACGCCGCGUGAGUGCUGAAGGUCUUCGGCUCGUAAAGCGCUGAUGUUAGGAAAGAUCAUAUGUGUAUGUAACUGUGCACAUAUUGACAGUACCUGAACAGAAAGCCACGGCUAACUACGUG
This 497-nucleotide ribosomal RNA is filed under the name uncultured bacterium. RNAcentral describes it as "partial 16S ribosomal RNA". It matches the Rfam family "Bacterial small subunit ribosomal RNA", at positions 28 to 507 of the family's 1533-position model. The record is from RNAcentral.